UUUGAAAUCUGGCCCUCGGGCCCGAGUUGUAAUCUGCAGAUGAGUCUUCCGGCAGAGCGCCGUCCAAGUGCCCUGGAACGGGCCGCCGGAGAGGGUGAGAGCCCCGUACCGACGCGCGCCGAGCCUCUGUGAAGCUCAUUCGAAGAGUCGAGUAGUUUGGAAAUGCUGCUCUAAUUGUGGGGUAAAUCUCCCAUAAGGCUAAAUACCGGCCAGAGACCGAUAGCGCACAAGUAGCGUGAGCGAAAGAUGAAAAGAGCCUUGAACAAGGGCGUCAAAAAGCAUGUGAAAUUGUUGUGGGGGAAGCGUUCGAUGCCAGACAUGGCGGCGGUUGGUUACCCGGCGUUCUUCGCCGGCGCACUCUGCCGUCGCCAGGCCAGCAUCAGUUCGGCUCGAGGCCCACCGCCGGCGGGAAUGUGGCUCCCCUCGGGGAGUGUUAUAGCCCGUCGGUACCGUCUCGGACCGGACUGAGGACCGCGCUUCGGCUCGGAUGCUGGCGUAAUGGCCUCUAGCGACCCGUCUUGAAACACGGACCAAGGAGUUGACCUAGCCUGCGAGUGUUUGGGUGUCAAGCCCUUACGCGCAGUGAAAGCGAAUGCAGGUGGGAGCUUCGGCGCACCAUCGACCGAUCCUGAAGUUUACGGAUGGAUUUGAGUAAGAGCAUGCUGGGUCUGACCCGAAAGAAGGUGAACUAUGCAUGAAUAGGGUGAAGCCAGAGGAAACUCUGGUGGAGGCUCGCAGCGGUUCUGACGUGCAAAUCGAUCGUCAAAUUUGUGCAUGGGGGCGAAAGACCAAUCGAACCUUCUAGUAGCUGGUUCCUGCCGAAGUUUCCCUCAGGAUAGCAGAGUUGAUCCUCAGUUUCAUGAGGUAAAGCGAAUGAUUAGAGACUCGGGGGCGCUAUAUUGCCUUCAUCUAUUCUCAACUUUAAAUAUGUGAGAAGCCUCGUGUUACUUCGGUGAACGCAGGCCUUUGAAUGAAUCAACUCUA
This 984-nucleotide ribosomal RNA is filed under the name Phaeoisaria aquatica. Its description in RNAcentral is "LSU rRNA". It matches the Rfam family "Eukaryotic large subunit ribosomal RNA", at positions 114 to 1125 of the family's 3401-position model. Lineage: Eukaryota; Fungi; Ascomycota; Sordariomycetes; Pleurotheciales; Pleurotheciaceae. The record is from RNAcentral.